CGCCCGGCUGGGAGGACGCUGCGCAGCAGGGUCGCCAGAGUGCGCCUCUCACAGAAUCCUCCAGGUGCCAUCAGGCGGAGGGCGAGAUGGGAAACUUCAAGCUGGGCCUCAUGUAGGUCCCAACCGCCGCAGAUGGAGGCAGGAGCUCAGGCAGGGGCAGCAGCCCCAGAAGGCCUGCAGGGGGCAGAGGGCUGGUGCCCUUUGCAGACCCUGCCCGUCUUGGCUCCCUCCUCUCCAGGGUCCCAAGGUGUGGGGGAUCAGGGGUGCUGCCUGCCCACCACUGGGGCUGCAGCCCUAGCACCCCCUUCCUCCUCUGAUACAGAAAGCAGCUCGGCAGAGGGGUCCCACUUCUGUGGAGAGGGACAGAGCUGCUGUGGGGAGCCAGGCCUCUACAGUACGUCCAGGCUGCAGGUGGGGGAAUUAUCUCUCUCAGAGGUGUCUUAAUCUCAUCUCGUGGUGCAUUAUCCAAAGCAGUCCCUCCUUUGGCAAGGACAAUUUUAUCUGCAUCUUCCACCCCCGGUCCCCAGCUAUCCCUGUGCUGCUUGUGGCCUGGGCAGCAGUGGGCACCGAGCUGCCAGGGCCUGGUUCCACUUCCUCACCCACUGCAGGCUCCUUGCAGGCCGAGGGUGCCAACGGGACCAGGGAUCUGUGGAUGACUCUGGCAGUGCCAAAGGCGGCUUUCACCCACACCCCAGCCAUUCGUGUCCUCCUUGGGUGGUGACAGCCCGGCGGGCCCCAGCUGGGGAGCACUGAUGAUGCUUGGCUCACAUCUGGCAGCACCUGAGGCCUUACCUGCCACCUGCCAUUCUCAGGUGCGGGGUUAGAAGGGACACAGUUUCUGCUGAGCAAAUAAAUGCGUGUCCAAACCGA
Molecule: long non-coding RNA, 870 nt
Organism: Marmota monax (woodchuck)
Lineage: Eukaryota; Metazoa; Chordata; Mammalia; Rodentia; Sciuridae
Exons: 3
Source: RefSeq, a predicted model, not a curated record